GGCCAGACUCCUACGGAGGCAGCAGUGGGGAAUAUUGCACAAUGGGGGGAACCCUGAUGCAGCGACGCCGCGUGAGUGAAGAAGUAUUUCGGUAUGUAAAGCUCUGUCAGCAGGGAAGAAGAAAGACGGUACCUGACCAAGAAGCCCCGGCUAACUACGUGCCAGCAGCCGCGGUAAUACGUAGGGGGCAAGCGUUAUCCGGAUUUACUGGGUGUAAAGGGGGCGCAGACGGCAGCGCAAGCCAGGAGUGAAAGCCCGGGGCCCAACCCCGGGACUGCUCUUGGAACUGCGCGGCUGGAGUGCAGGAGGGGCAGGCGGAAUUCCUGGUGUAGCGGUGAAAUGCGUAGAUAUUAGGAGGAACACCAGUGGCGAAGGCGGCUUACUGGACUGUAACUGACGUUGAGGCUCGAAAGCGUGGGGAGCAAACAGGAUUAGAUACCCCCGUAUC
This 448-nucleotide ribosomal RNA is filed under the name uncultured bacterium. RNAcentral describes it as "partial 16S ribosomal RNA". It matches the Rfam family "Bacterial small subunit ribosomal RNA", at positions 329 to 794 of the family's 1533-position model. The record is from RNAcentral.